RNAcentral lists this long non-coding RNA (274 nucleotides) under Lathyrus oleraceus (garden pea). RNAcentral describes it as "Pisum sativum (pea) long non-coding RNA (PSAT_LNC003885)". The record is from RNAcentral. Lineage: Eukaryota; Viridiplantae; Streptophyta; Magnoliopsida; Fabales; Fabaceae.
UCUUCCACCUAACAUGUUUGGGCCAUUAGAUCUGAUCCAUGGAUCUGAUCAUUUGAUGGACCGCACGUUGACCGUUGGUCAACUCUGAUUCCCUCUUGGGCUGCAACGCUUUUGGGCCUGCUUGUUUUGUUAUUUGGACCCUCCUUUUCAUUUUCACACCCCCUUUUUAAUUUAAUUUAAUUUUCCUUUUUAUUUAUUUGAUUUAAUUUUAUUUCAUUUUCAGAUUUUAAUUUUUUCCCAUUUAUUUUCCAAUAUUUUUACUAUUUAAUAUUUU